AUUCACUAUCGAAGAUAUUGACUUACAGUACGCCAGACACAAUUGAAACUACCAAUUCUCUGACCUCCUUACUGUAUCAACCAAAGCUCUCCUGGAUUCUGCAGAUCUGCGCCAAAAUCCCAGCCUUGAAUAUCUUCAACCUCUCGUGAAUCACCAAGCACUCCUGCUCUUCAAGCAAUUUCCUUCCCGGAUCUUCAAACCGAUGAUCUUCU
RNAcentral lists this long non-coding RNA (212 nucleotides) under Olea europaea (common olive). Its description in RNAcentral is "long non-coding RNA (OEUR_LNC002849)". Lineage: Eukaryota; Viridiplantae; Streptophyta; Magnoliopsida; Lamiales; Oleaceae. The record is from RNAcentral.